This 73-nucleotide transfer RNA is filed under the name Bathyarchaeia archaeon. RNAcentral describes it as "Candidatus Bathyarchaeia archaeon tRNA-Gly". It matches the Rfam family "tRNA". Rfam says of the family: Transfer RNA (tRNA) molecules are approximately 80 nucleotides in length. Their secondary structure includes four short double-helical elements and three loops (D, anti-codon, and T loops). Lineage: Archaea; Thermoproteati; Candidatus Bathyarchaeota; Bathyarchaeia (SeqCode). The record is from RNAcentral.
GCGGCCGUGGUCCAGCCUGGCAAGAUAUUGGCCUUCCAAGCCAACGACCCGGGUUCAAAUCCCGGCGGCCGCA